RNAcentral lists this unclassified non-coding RNA (1063 nucleotides) under Hevea brasiliensis (rubber tree). Lineage: Eukaryota; Viridiplantae; Streptophyta; Magnoliopsida; Malpighiales; Euphorbiaceae. The record is from RNAcentral.
AACGCAUGAUGAAAUUACAAUAACAGUAUCUGAUAUCAUACUUUUACAAUGGCUACCGCAUCCUAUAAGUUCGGCAAUAAGAACUCCUACAUUACACAUCUAACCUGUGGCUCUAUUAAAGCAAUGUCUGAAUGAACAAUCAGAUAGCUAUCUGUUACAACAUUAAAACUACAGUCAUCCAAGGGACUUAGCAGCCUAAAAAGGUAAGAAAGGGUGAGAUAGAAGAGGCCAGCAUCAAAUUACUCUAUUUGAUGUGCUCAAUCAAGGCUUAACCUUGCUUGGCAUCACUGCCACUUCUCCCAUUUUCAACUACCUCUCCUUCCACCUUCUCGAUCACAAUAUCCAUAUAAUUUGGUUUCUCAUUAUUGCCGUUUGCUGCUUCUUUAUCCUUGAUCUCUCCUUCAGACUUGGGAAUGCUUUCGUCAUGUUUCUCUCUGUCUUCUACUACACCUUUGUACUUCUCANUCUCAUUCAGGUCUGUGCCAGCUUUAUCGAGUUCCCCACACCCAUAUUCUUUGGAAACCUCAAGCUGCUGUUGCUCAUCCUUUCCUUUAAACUUUUCAUCCUCUAUAUUUUCCUUUUUACUUUCAGAUGCCCCAGAACCAUGUGAUGUCCCCUUGGAGCGCCCAAGCUCUACUUCACCUUUUCCCUCUCCAGCUUCAUCAGAUUUGUCUGCAUCUUGUUCAACUUUAGCUUCUUCAGUAGGGGUUGAUUCUAUUUUAGCAUCAGUCUCUAGUGGUUUUUCUUUAUUCUCUUCCAGAUUUCCUUUCACAUCCUCCUUUCCAGCUUCCACUUCUGCAUCAUCCUUUCCGGUUUUUCCAGCUUCCUGCAUUUGAAUUUCUUUUGUCUCCUCAGCUCCUUCUGGUGCAGUUUCUGUUUCUUUGUUCUCCUUUUUAGAAGCUGAUGAUUUCCUGCUUCGUUUCCUUGGGGUUUCAGUUUCAGGGGUUAGAGCUGCCUUUGCCUUCUCACUAAUCCGUGCUGAUCGUCUAGGGGUCUCACCAGUGCCCCAAUCAAACUCAGAUGCAGCUGGACCACCAGGGUGUGCUUUGAGAUAUUGUUCCAA